Molecule: long non-coding RNA, 853 nt
Organism: Populus euphratica (Euphrates poplar)
Lineage: Eukaryota; Viridiplantae; Streptophyta; Magnoliopsida; Malpighiales; Salicaceae
Exons: 4
Source: RefSeq, a predicted model, not a curated record
CAUAAAAGGAAAAUAAAUGUAGUAAUGACAAACAAGCAUAACGUCUGCUCAUUCUCCAUUUUCUCUCCUUUUCCUCUCUUUCUUUUGCCUAAAAUAUCGCUCCUCCUUGCUCCCUUUCCUCAAUAAAACUCCAACCAUCACAGCGAAGUUUUCCCUCCAUUAACCACUCUUCUGUUCUGUUCUGUUCUUUCUCAUGGCUUCUUUUGCCUUCCAUUAGUCGUUACAUUCGAGGCUGUAAUCAAUACAUAGCUAGCAAUUGGAUAAGACUCGAACGAUCUCUGUAGCCACAAGGUCGGCCUCUGCCCAAGUUUGGUGAGUGGGAUGUAAACAACCCUGCCUCUGCUGAAGGAUUCACAGUCAUCUUUAAUAAGGCUAGAGACGAGAAGAAGACCAAAAAUAGUCCAGAAAAAGUCGUAUCGCCACGAAGAACUGAACCUGGGUACAACAAAAAUGACAAAAAUGAGAAUUAUAAGCAUCCCCCAAAGAGGAGGUGGCUGUGCUGUAGUUGAACUUAUACUGCUGUAAGGGCCUUGAUAAAAUGACUGGUGAAAGCUACCAUAUCCGGGGCGGGGAUUCUCUGACGAAUGCCUGGGCCUUCUGAUGGAGCACUGAAUGGUAUCUGACCAUACUUUUCUUUGUUUUUUCCCCCUCCUAUACCCUUCACUCUUAUUUAUUGCCUUGGAUUCUUUCUUCUCAUUUUAUGUUUCUGAUGCUUCUCAAAUAAUGGUACAAGAGUGCCAAAAACAAGUUGAGGAUUUUUGUUUUUACGGAAGAUGUUAUCAGUGUUUCACUUGCUGGCUCUGAGCAAGAACAUGGUGCUAAUCAAUAAGACAGUUUACAUUUAUUAUUAUUG